Molecule: ribosomal RNA, 470 nt
Filed under: uncultured bacterium
Lineage: Bacteria
Description: bacterial SSU rRNA
Rfam family: Bacterial small subunit ribosomal RNA
Source: RNAcentral
ACUCCUACGGGAGGCAGCAGUGGGAGAUGAUGCAUGGCAAAGGGACCCUGAUGCAGCCAUGCCGCGUGUGUGAAGAAGGCCUUCGGGUUGUAAAGCACUUUCAGUAGGGAGGAAGGUAGUGUAGUUAACACCUGCAUUAUUUGACGUUACCUACAGAAGAAGCACCGGCUAACUCCGUGCCAGCAGCCGCGGUAAUACGGAGGGUGCGAGCGUUAAUCGGAAUUACUGGGCGUAAAGCGCAUGCAGGCGGCCUGUUAAGUCAGAUGUGAAAGCCCGGGGCUUAACCUCGGAAUUGCAUUUGAAACUGGCAGGCUAGAGUCUUGUAGAGGGGGUAGAAUUUCAGGUGUAGCGGUGAAAUGCGUAGAGAUCUGAAGGAAUACCAGUGGCGAAGGCGGCCCCUGGACAAAGACUGACGCUCAGAUGCGAAAGCGUGGGGAGCAAACAGGAUUAGAUACCCUGGUAGUGUACUG